UGGAGCUUGCUGCUAUCAUGGCCAUUGCACUUACGAAUGGAGGGGUUGGUGAAUUUUUCUUCUACUGUUCUGUCUCUCUUUCUGUUUUAGGGUAAAAUUUGAGUUUUUGUGAAAGAUGGUAUCCAUUUGUUUCUGAUUCUUCCUUUGCAGGGCAAGCCUCCAGAUUGGCAAGAUUUCAUAGGCAUAGUCACUGUUUAUAAACUCCACUAUUAGCUUUAUCGAGGAGAACAAUGCCGGUAAUGCUACGGUUUGAAGAGCUCGCUAAAUCGAUUCUAACCACUGAAGUCGAGGAAACAAAGUGAUAAUCAUAAUAUAGAAGAAGCCAAGAAAUUGACCCAUUAACCUUAUGCUUCAGUUUCUGGGCAUCCCUUAACCGAGUCGUUACUAUACUUUGGAUCAAUUGGCUAGUGCUGUGCUGGCGCACUUCAUCUUGAAGGAGAAACUACACAAGCUAGGGAUGUUGGGCUGUGUGAUGUGCAUUGUCGGUUUUGUCAUAAUUGUCAUCCACGCACCGCAAGAAAGUCCCAUUACUUCUGUUCAAGAAAUAUGGAUUAUGGCGACUCAAACAGCUUUUCUGCUUUACGUCGACUUGGUAAUCAUGUUGGUGUUCAUCCUGGUUUCCAUUUUUCACCUAGAUGUGGGCACACGGAUGUGCUAGUUUACACCGGCAUCCGCUCAUUAAUGGGCUCUCUCUCGGU
Molecule: long non-coding RNA, 698 nt
Organism: Eucalyptus grandis
Lineage: Eukaryota; Viridiplantae; Streptophyta; Magnoliopsida; Myrtales; Myrtaceae
Exons: 3
Source: RefSeq, a predicted model, not a curated record